Stegodyphus mimosarum is the source of this 73-nucleotide non-coding RNA. NCBI's taxonomy places the organism in Eukaryota, Metazoa, Arthropoda, Arachnida, Araneae, Eresidae. The record is from Rfam.
GCCUUCGUGGUGUAGUGGUCAUCAUGCUUGGUGCGCAUUCGAGAGGUCCGUGGUUCGAAUACCGGCGAGGGCA